Bombus pyrosoma is the source of this 1684-nucleotide long non-coding RNA. RefSeq lists it as uncharacterized. NCBI's taxonomy places the organism in Eukaryota, Metazoa, Arthropoda, Insecta, Hymenoptera, Apidae. The transcript is spliced from 2 exons. The record is from RefSeq and is a predicted model, not a curated record.
UAAAAAAAAGAAAUUAUUAUAUCUAAGAAAUUAACAAUAGAGUGACGAAUUAAUUCGCCUUCUCUGAUUAACUUAUUAAAUAAAAUUUUUAAUAAUAAUGUAUUUAUAUAUUUUAUGUAAUAUUAACCGUUACUGCUGAUACUUCGUUCACGUUGUAUACAAUUGGAUUACGUGUUUCUCCUAGAAUUAACAACAUAGUUAAAUUGCGGAUACUUCAAUUCGUCUUCAUAAGUUUAGCACGACAUAGUUAUUAGCAUGAUGACAAUACAAAAAUAGAAAAUAUGAAAUCAUCAUAUAGCAUAUAUAUAUAGCAAAUCAGCAUAUAUUUUGGCAUAUACAUUUAUAUAGCAUAUAGCAUGUGGCAUAUAUUUGGAAUAUCCUUGAAUUAUAAUUAACUUCAUUAGUCAUUAAAUAAAAAGCUUCGAAUAUUAUACAAAUGUGAAUUUCUGGGUAAUGUUCUCUUGUGUCGUUACUUUUAGAUGCACGAUAAAUCCUGAAACCUCAGAGUAACAUAAUCAUAAACAUUCUUGGUACGAUUAAAAUGCUUAUGUUAAUUCUCAUCAUAAGUAAUGUUAUCAUCGGCUGGUUUCUCAGAACAUACAGCGAAGGAUACGUAUUUGCCUUUGUGUAAACUUGGUUGCGCAAUUUCCUGUGCAAGAUACAGGCUACAUUACCGGACGAAUUCGAAAUUAGCAAUAUUGAAGCGCGGUACUCGGAAAGACGAAUAUACAUACAUAAUUGUAUGUACGUAGUUCGUGUACUAAUCAACCAUACGGUUAUAAUUGCAUCCUUGAUAGAAAAAUCGUAAAAUUGAUAUGAUUUCAUGGAAACGCAUCUAACUUAAUAUCUCGAAAGUAUCUUAAAUAAACUAAUUAGCGUGUCUGUUAUAUCUUAUAAAAUGUAAAUUAGCAUGUAACAGAGAAACCCUCAUCAAUUUGAUUCGCUUUAAACUGCGCAAAUAAGUAGUAUAAAUAAUAAUUGUGAUUGGUUUGGUAUCAACUUCAAGUUUCCUUUAAUAUUUAUCUUUAAAAAUCGUUUCACGAUUAUACAAAUUACUAAAAGAAUGUCUAUAUUAGUAAUUUAUUUAUUUUGCAUUAAUCGUGACAUGUUAGUUGCAUUACGUUAUAUGUAGACUAUCACAGAGGAGAAACGAUAAUCUUUCUGCUAUUAGUUUUCUGAUUUUAAUGUAAUUUUAUAAGUACAUUUUAUAAGUACUUUAACAUGGCAUACUUGUAAAUGAAAACAACCAAUUAGGUCCAAAAACACAAGCCUGUUACCAAGACUCUUGUUAAAUUGAACAAACUUUUCAAAAAUCAAACGUGUAUAUUAACGCGAACUUAUUAUUUGACUGAUUUUACUGACAUCCGAAAUUGGUGAGAUCAUAUGAAACCUUGCUCUUCACCAUCCGGUGUAUAAUAACGCGUCACCGAUUACUCAACUUUCAAUAAAAAAAGCGAAUCAAGUCCACCGGAUUGCCCUACAGACACGCAUUAAUCCGUAAGAGUUAGUCAUCACCUGGAUAAUAAUUAUCUGAAGAAACUUUCAACGUGAAAAUAUAAAGUUUUAAUUGAUUAGAUAUUGUGUUAGCCAUACUUGAAAAAAAGGUAAAAUUUCGAAAUUGUACGAAGGCCACGUGAUCAGAUCGUAUUGGAAUUUGAAGUGUAUGGAAAAAGACAACUCAAAA